Molecule: long non-coding RNA, 2572 nt
Filed under: Homo sapiens (human)
Lineage: Eukaryota; Metazoa; Chordata; Mammalia; Primates; Hominidae
Description: HSALNT0220191
Source: RNAcentral
GAGAGGACCAGAGCCUUAGCCUGGAAUUUUCCUAAGAAAAAGCUCACAGAUCAUUUGGGACCUUUAAAUACAGAUGCCUUGUUGAAACCCAGCUAGGAAGCAAUAAGAUCAGAUAUGGUAAAUAAGGAGAAAUUCAAAAAUCCCUGUUGUGUAGACACAUCAUUUUCUGUAAAUAAUUACUUGAUCUUUCUUUCAAGUGGUAAAUAGCCAUUUAUUGAGUAUUCUUGCUUUGAUUGUCUACGUAAGCAUGUAAGACUACAACAUUACGACCCAUCUCUUCAAGAGGAAGUCUGGUAUUAUGGAAAAACAUUUUGUCAUUCAGAUUUUUUUUUCUUACAGUAUGCCCAUCACAAACCAGGCAGCAAGCAAGGUAUUGGGUGCUACUCAAUCCAGUGAAGUCUUGAGGGUCCCUUCCCUCUGUGAAGCAUAUAAUCUAGUGGGGUAGACUGCUAGCUACUAACUAUGAAAACAACAUAGUCUGACUUGAGAGUGGGGAAAGUGGAACAAGGGAGUAAUUUUUAUAUUUUUCUUCACAUUUAAAAAUAUUUUCUAAACAAUCCAAUAUAAUCUUUUCUAUAAUUUCCAAUACAAUCAACAUGUAUUACUUGUAAAAUAAUAGCAUACAUAUAUCGACAGACUGAAGAAGGUAUACUAUUAGAGAACAUUUGCAGAAAAGAAUUCCACAUCUUUUUUUUGAGACAGAGUUCUGCUGUCACCCAGGCUGGAGUGCAGUGGCAGCAAUCUAGGCUCACUGCAACCUCCACCUCUUGGGUUCAAGCAAUUCUCCUGCCUCAGCCUCCUGAGUAGCUGGGCCUACAGGCACGCGCCACCACACCCAGAUAAUUUCCUGACCUCAGAUGAUCCACCCACCUUGGCCUCCCAAAGUGAUGGAAUUACAGGCGUGAGCCACUGCACCUGGCCGAGAAUUCCACAUUUUAAGAAUAUGGUAAAAGAGUUUUAUUCUCUUCAGUAAGAUGAGGUUGAGAAUAAAAAAUUAAAAAGAUUAAGCAAAUGACACUUUCACAUCAUAGGGUAGUAAUAAUGAACUUUAAUAAUCUUAAAAAAAUACUUAUUGGGGAUAAGAAAUGUGGUUUACAAGUAAACUGUUACUUUCUAGACUUAACCCAAGAAGUUAAUGGAGUAGGUGUGUUUCAGUAAAGUAACAGGAAAUGGUACAGAAACCACCAAUGGUCAUCAUGCUUGAGAGUCAAUACAGCACAUAAUUCACAGCACAGAUGAGGCUGGGUGCAGCAAUUCAUGCCUGCAAUUCUACCACUUUGGGAAGCUCAGGCGAGAGGAUCACUUGAGCCCAGGAAUUUGAGACCAGCGUGGGCAACAAGGCUAGACCCCAUCUCUACAAAAUAUAUAUUUAAAAUUAGUUGGGUGUUACCCAGGCAUGGUGGCUCACACCUAUAAUCCCAGUACUUUGGGUAGCCGGGGGAGGUGGAUCACUUGAGGUCAGGAGUUUGAGAUCAGCCUGGCCAACAAGGUGAAACCUUGUCUCUACGAAAAAUACAAAAAUCAGCCAGGCAUUAUGGUGGGUACCUGUAAUCUCAGCUACUUUGGAGGCUGAAGCACGAGAAUUGCUUGAUCUUGGGAGGCAGAGGUUGCAGUGAGCCAAGAUUGUGCCACUGUACUCCGGCCUGGGCAACAGAGUGAGACUUCAACUCAAAAAAACAAAAAUAAAUAAAAAUGAAAAAUAAAAAAAUAUAUAUAUAAAAUUAGGUACGUGUGGUGGUGCAUGCCUGUGGUUCCACCUAAUCAAGAGGCAGUGGCAGGAGGAUUGCUUGAGCCCAGGAGUUUACGGCUGCAGUGAGCUAUGAUCACGCUACUACACUCCAGCCUGGGCAACAGAGCAAGAGGUUGUCUUUUUUUUUUUUUUCUUUCUGAGACAGGAUCUCACUCUGUUGCCCAGGUUGGAAAGCAGUGGCAUGAUCUCAGCUCACUGCUGCCUCAGUCUCCCAGGCUCAAGUGAUCCUCCCACCUCAGUCUCCCAAGUAGCUGGAACUACAGGUGCACACCAUCACAUCCAGUUAUUUUUUUUUUUUUGACGGAGUCUCGCACUGUUGCCCAGGCUGGAGCGCAAUGGCACGAUCUCAGCUCACUGCAACCUCCACCUCCCAGGUUCAAGCAAUUCUCCUGCCUCAGACUCCUGAGUAGCUGGGAUUACAGGCACUCACCGCCGAGACUCCGUCUCAAAAAAAAAAAAAAAAAAAAAAGUAUAGCUACUAUUAUAAUCCUGUGAAAAUAAUCAAUAUAAAAUUAAAAAUCAACAGACAGCCCAUAUUGCCCUUUUUUGGCCUAACAAAAAACAGAUUUCUAAGAAGACAGUAAGAAAUCAGUAUUAAUUUAAACAUUGUACAGGACAGGAGAUCAAAAGCACAGGUAUACAAAUGGUUCAUUUAAAAAAACUGAUACUCAAAUUGACACCCUGAAAAUGUCAGAUAAUUUUUCAGAAUGAUUAAACUCACUAAACAUCUGUAAACAAUAAAUUUAUUUCAUUUCUUUUAAAGAUUUAAUGAUAUACAAAACGUAUAUAGUAUCUUUAAGUAAUACACUUUUUCUUUCUCCC